UGAGGAAUUUUGCGCAAUGGGCGAAAGCCUGACGCAGCGACGCCGCGUGGGUGACGAAGGCCCUCGGGUUGUAAAGCCCUGUGGGGAGGGAAGUAUAAGGGGCGGCUAACAUCCGCACCGAUGACGGUACCUCCUUAGCAAGCACCGGCUAACUCUGUGCCAGCAGCCGCGGUAAGACAGAGGGUGCAAACGUUGUUCGGAAUUACUGGGCGUAAAGCGCGUGUAGGCGGCUACGCAAGUCGGAUGUGAAAGCCCUUGGCUCAACUGAGGAAGUGCAUUCGAAACUGCGUAGCUCGAGUCCCGGAGAGGAUGGUGGAAUUCUCGGUGUAGAGGUGAAAUUCGUAGAUAUCGAGAGGAACACCAGUGGCGAAGGCGGCCAUCUGGACGGUGACUGACGCUGAGACGCGAAAGCAUGGGGAGCAAACA
This 426-nucleotide ribosomal RNA is filed under the name uncultured prokaryote. RNAcentral's name for it is "bacterial SSU rRNA". It matches the Rfam family "Bacterial small subunit ribosomal RNA", at positions 355 to 774 of the family's 1533-position model. The record is from RNAcentral.